UUAAGCGACUAAGCGUACACGGUGGAUGCCCUGGCAGUCAGAGGCGAUGAAGGACGUGCUAAUCUGCGAUAAGCGUCGGUAAGGUGAUAUGAACCGUUAUAACCGGCGAUUUCCGAAUGGGGAAACCCAGUGUGAUUCGUCACACUAUCAUUAACUGAAUCCAUAGGUUAAUGAGGCGAACCGGGGGAACUGAAACAUCUAAGUACCCCGAGGAAAAGAAAUCAACCGAGAUUCCCCCAGUAGCGGCGAGCGAACGGGGAGGAGCCCAGAGCCUGAAUCAGUGUGUGUGUUAGUGGAAGCGUCUGGAAAGGCGCGCGAUACAGGGUGACAGCCCCGUACACAAAAAUGCACAUAUUGUGAGCUCGAUGAGUAGGGCGGGACACGUGGUAUCCUGUCUGAAUAUGGGGGGACCAUCCUCCAAGGCUAAAUACUCCUGACUGACCGAUAGUGAACCAGUACCGUGAGGGAAAGGCGAAAAGAACCCCGGCGAGGGGAGUGAAAAAGAACCUGAAACCGUGUACGUACAAGCAGUGGGAGCACGCUUAGGCGUGUGACUGCGUACCUUUUGUAUAAUGGGUCAGCGACUUAUAUUCUGUAGCAAGGUUAACCGAAUAGGGGAGCCGAAGGGAAACCGAGUCUUAACUGGGCGUUAAGUUGCAGGGUAUAGACCCGAAACCCGGUGAUCUAGCCAUGGGCAGGUUGAAGGUUGGGUAACACUAACUGGAGGACCGAACCGACUAAUGUUGAAAAAUUAGCGGAUGACUUGUGGCUGGGGGUGAAAGGCCAAUCAAACCGGGAGAUAGCUGGUUCUCCCCGAAAGCUAUUUAGGUAGCGCCUCGUGAAUUCAUCUCCGGGGGUAGAGCACUGUUUCGGCAAGGGGGUCAUCCCGACUUACCAACCCGAUGCAAACUGCGAAUACCGGAGAAUGUUAUCACGGGAGACACACGGCGGGUGCUAACGUCCGUCGUGAAGAGGGAAACAACCCAGACCGCCAGCUAAGGUCCCAAAGUCAUGGUUAAGUGGGAAACGAUGUGGGAAGGCCCAGACAGCCAGGAUGUUGGCUUAGAAGCAGCCAUCAUUUAAAGAAAGCGUAAUAGCUCACUGGUCGAGUCGGCCUGCGCGGAAGAUGUAACGGGGCUAAACCAUGCACCGAAGCUGCGGCAGCGACGCUUAUGCGUUGUUGGGUAGGGGAGCGUUCUGUAAGCCUGUGAAGGUGUGCUGUGAGGCAUGCUGGAGGUAUCAGAAGUGCGAAUGCUGACAUAAGUAACGAUAAAGCGGGUGAAAAGCCCGCUCGCCGGAAGACCAAGGGUUCCUGUCCAACGUUAAUCGGGGCAGGGUGAGUCGACCCCUAAGGCGAGGCCGAAAGGCGUAGUCGAUGGGAAACAGGUUAAUAUUCCUGUACUUGGUGUUACUGCGAAGGGGGGACGGAGAAGGCUAUGUUGGCCGGGCGACGGUUGUCCCGGUUUAAGCGUGUAGGCUGGUUUUCCAGGCAAAUCCGGAAAAUCAAGGCUGAGGCGUGAUGACGAGGCACUACGGUGCUGAAGCAACAAAUGCCCUGCUUCCAGGAAAAGCCUCUAAGCAUCAGGUAACAUCAAAUCGUACCCCAAACCGACACAGGUGGUCAGGUAGAGAAUACCAAGGCGCUUGAGAGAACUCGGGUGAAGGAACUAGGCAAAAUGGUGCCGUAACUUCGGGAGAAGGCACGCUGAUAUGUAGGUGAAGUCCCUCGCGGAUGGAGCUGAAAUCAGUCGAAGAUACCAGCUGGCUGCAACUGUUUAUUAAAAACACAGCACUGUGCAAACACGAAAGUGGACGUAUACGGUGUGACGCCUGCCCGGUGCCGGAAGGUUAAUUGAUGGGGUUAGCCGCAAGGCGAAGCUCUUGAUCGAAGCCCCGGUAAACGGCGGCCGUAACUAUAACGGUCCUAAGGUAGCGAAAUUCCUUGUCGGGUAAGUUCCGACCUGCACGAAUGGCGUAAUGAUGGCCAGGCUGUCUCCACCCGAGACUCAGUGAAAUUGAACUCGCUGUGAAGAUGCAGUGUACCCGCGGCAAGACGGAAAGACCCCGUGAACCUUUACUAUAGCUUGACACUGAACAUUGAGCCUUGAUGUGUAGGAUAGGUGGGAGGCUUUGAAGUGUGGACGCCAGUCUGCAUGGAGCCGACCUUGAAAUACCACCCUUUAAUGUUUGAUGUUCUAACGUUGACCCGUAAUCCGGGUUGCGGACAGUGUCUGGUGGGUAGUUUGACUGGGGCGGUCUCCUCCUAAAGAGUAACGGAGGAGCACGAAGGUUGGCUAAUCCUGGUCGGACAUCAGGAGGUUAGUGCAAUGGCAUAAGCCAGCUUGACUGCGAGCGUGACGGCGCGAGCAGGUGCGAAAGCAGGUCAUAGUGAUCCGGUGGUUCUGAAUGGAAGGGCCAUCGCUCAACGGAUAAAAGGUACUCCGGGGAUAACAGGCUGAUACCGCCCAAGAGUUCAUAUCGACGGCGGUGUUUGGCACCUCGAUGUCGGCUCAUCACAUCCUGGGGCUGAAGUAGGUCCCAAGGGUAUGGCUGUUCGCCAUUUAAAGUGGUACGCGAGCUGGGUUUAGAACGUCGUGAGACAGUUCGGUCCCUAUCUGCCGUGGGCGCUGGAGAACUGAGGGGGGCUGCUCCUAGUACGAGAGGACCGGAGUGGACGCAUCACUGGUGUUCGGGUUGUCAUGCCAAUGGCACUGCCCGGUAGCUAAAUGCGGAAGAGAUAAGUGCUGAAAGCAUCUAAGCACGAAACUUGCCCCGAGAUGAGUUCUCCCUGACCCUUUAAGGGUCCUGAAGGAACGUUGAAGACGACGACGUUGAUAGGCCGGGUGUGUAAGCGCAGCGAUGCGUUGAGCUAACCGGUACUAAUGAACCGUGAGGCUUAACCUU
This 2904-nucleotide ribosomal RNA is filed under the name Escherichia coli HVH 164 (4-5953081). Its description in RNAcentral is "bacterial LSU rRNA". It matches the Rfam family "Bacterial large subunit ribosomal RNA". Lineage: Bacteria; Pseudomonadati; Pseudomonadota; Gammaproteobacteria; Enterobacterales; Enterobacteriaceae. The record is from RNAcentral.